RNAcentral lists this small RNA (106 nucleotides) under Marmota monax (woodchuck). Lineage: Eukaryota; Metazoa; Chordata; Mammalia; Rodentia; Sciuridae. The record is from RNAcentral.
GCCAGGCAUGGUGGUGCAUGCCUGUAACCCCAGCUACUUGGGAGGCUGAGGUAGGAGGAUUACAAGUUUGAGGCCAGCCAAGGCAACUUGAAGAGAUCUGUCUCAA